GGCCCCGCCCACGUCAUGGCGCCCGAGGAGAAUGCGGGGACCGAACUCUUGCUGCAGAGUUUCGAGCGCCGCUUCCUGGCGGCGCGCACGCUGCGCUCCUUCCCCUGGCAGGGGGGCGGCGGGCGAGCGGAGAGGCCCGCGGGGCUCGCGGGAGUCCAGGGGCAGACGGGAUGGGUCUCCGUGCUGAAACCCCCGGCGCUCCUGCCACAGCUUAGAAGCAAAGUUAAGAGACUCAUCAGAUUCUGAGCUGCUGCGGGAUAUUUUGCAGAAGACUGUGAAGCAUCCUGUGUGUGUGUGAAGCACCCGCCGUCAGUCAAGAAAGCCCGGUGCUUUCUCUCAGAACUCAUCAAAAAGUAACCUGAAGCUUUCACCGUAGACGUGCUGUAUUGCCCAGAAGCCAUCGUGUCGCUGGUCGGGAUCCUGCGGAGGCUGGCUGCCUGCUGGGAGCACCAGCAGUCUCCUGAGGUCUACGUGGCCUUUACCGUCCACAACCCAGAGACGUGCCAGCUGUUCACCACCGAGCUAGGCCUGUCCUAGCAGCCCCACACAAAACGCUCACGUCCUGUCCCCAAACACCGCCAUCCUCAAGCACGUGCUCUGUUUCCAGGCCGGGCUGGGAUCAUAUGGGAAGCGGAAGCUCAUCAUGACCAGAAACUGUUUCCCUAUGGAGAGCACUUGGAGAUGGCAAUGCUGAACCUCACACUGUAGGACUCACACACGACUCCAACGGGAUUGUGAGAAUCAAGUCAAUCUCAUGGGAAGAAUUUUUAUAUGGGAAAGCGGAUAAAACUUUCAUUGUACUGGAAUGUUUGGAGAAUGUUAAAUUCCAAAUCAGAAACCACAAACUGCCCUCUAAUAAGACAUCGGCUAUCUAAGCGUGUGGGUGCCCCCUUUCUGCCAGCAGUUCUGGUUCUUACGAAAAUCACCAUAUAUCAGACAUGAAAAUUCUGGCUUUGUGCAGAUAAAAAAGUGUGUAUCAAGUAUGACGUUCCCCCAAUGUGGACACACUUGGUUCCUCAGAAAGCCAAGCCCACUGCAGCUGCCACAUCCCUGGACACACUCGGUUCCUCACAAAGCCAAGCCCGCUGCAGCUGUCACAUCCCUGGACACACUCGGUUCCUCACAAAGCCAAGCCCACUGCAGCUGCCACAUCCCUGAGCCUAUGGUGCAGCAGGUGCUUUUUUCAAGACAGGGAUCAAAGUGUUAGGAACACGGCAGAAAGGUGACACCUGGAGACCAAAUGCAGGAUGAGGAGUACUGCAGAGGUCACAGGGAAGUCAGAGAACAGUAAUACGCUAACAGGGGCACGGGGCAUGAAGAACAAAAGACAGGAAGCGUUUCAGAGACUCCAAAGAAGAAAUCAGGGCCAACCACAGCUUCCCGGGUCAUUCACCAGGUGGCACCACUGCCGUCAUUUCAGCUUCUGGCCACUGGGAGGCGCUGCUCGAAAGGGUUUGCCCUGACACUCCAAGAAGCUGCGGGAAGGACAGCAGGGGCCCUGGGGUUUUAGCCUCUGGCCCAGGAGUUAUGUGUCCAUAACCAAAGGGAGCACAGUCUGCACCCAGCUCUCAUCCCAUCAGAGCUGCUGCGACUCCUGCAGGUUCUUCCGGAACUGGUUUAGCUUGCCUGCAGGAUCAGGAAAGUUUGAGAAAAGCAUCUGCAAAAUACUAAAGAGCAGAGCUUACCUCAUUGCCUGUCCCCACCCCAUCCCAGGUCACCACCUGGCUGACCCCAGGUCCCCGACCCAACAACAACCCCUCCCAAGUCCCUAACUCCCUCACUUGGACUUGAGACCCUUCACACCCCAGCAGCGCUCCGCCUCCCACUUGACAUCAUGCUUUCUGGAAACUUCCCCGUAUGUCCCACUUUCCCACACUUGGUGCCCUGGAGCACCUUCCGGCCUCUACAUGCUGUACGUUCCCCUGUGAGCACCCUCCUCUCGGCCUCUGGCCAACACAGUCCCACCCAUCUGUGGGUAACAAGGGGGAGUGGGUGUUCUUUUCAGCCUUGCUAAACUCUCUGAAUCAAGGAUCACAAACUACAGCCUGCAGGCCAAAUCCAGCCCACAGCCUGUGUUUGUAAAUAAAGCUUUAUUGGAAGAAAGCCA
Homo sapiens (human) is the source of this 2107-nucleotide long non-coding RNA. Ensembl annotates it as family with sequence similarity 86 member D, pseudogene. Its record names the gene FAM86DP. The record is from Ensembl. NCBI's taxonomy places the organism in Eukaryota, Metazoa, Chordata, Mammalia, Primates, Hominidae.